RNAcentral lists this transfer RNA (44 nucleotides) under Tiarina fusus. RNAcentral's name for it is "Tiarina fusa partial Selenocysteine transfer RNA". The record is from RNAcentral. Lineage: Eukaryota; Ciliophora; Prostomatea; Prorodontida; Colepidae.
CCGCCGGCGGUUUGAGGGGCGGCCUUCAAACCGAUGUUGCGCGC